AUUCUUGCCUGGCAGGGGAGAUACCAUGAUCACGAAGGUAGUUUUCCCAGGGCAAGGCUUAAUUCAUUGCACUCUAGUUAUGCUGACCCCUGUGAUUUCCCCAAAGCCAGGAAACAGGACUGUAUAAUUUGUGGUAGCAGGAGAUUACAUUUGCACUCUCCUU
Small nuclear RNA from Mesocricetus auratus (golden hamster), 163 nucleotides. Its record names the gene U1. It matches the Rfam family "U1 spliceosomal RNA". Rfam says of the family: U1 is a small nuclear RNA (snRNA) component of the spliceosome (involved in pre-mRNA splicing). NCBI's taxonomy places the organism in Eukaryota, Metazoa, Chordata, Mammalia, Rodentia, Cricetidae. The record is from Ensembl.